UUAACGCUGAGGCGUGACGACGAGGCACUACGGUGCUGAAGUGAUAAAUGCCCAGCUUCCAGGAAAAGCCUCUAAGCAUCAGGUAACACAGAAUCGUACCCCAAACCGACACAGGUGGUCAGGUAGAGAAUACCAAGGCGCUUGAGAGAACUCGGGUGAAGGAACUAGGCAAAAUGGUGCCGUAACUUCGGGAGAAGGCACGCUGGCGCGUAGGUGGAGGGACUUGCUCCCCGAGCCGAAGCCAGUCGAAGAUACCAGCUGGCUGCAACUGUUUAUUAAAAACACAGCACUGUGCAAACACGAAAGUGGACGUAUACGGUGUGACGCCUGCCCGGUGCCGGAAGGUUAAUUGAUGGGGUUAUCCGCAAGGAGAAGCUCUUGAUCGAAGCCCCGGUAAACGGCGGCCGUAACUAUAACGGUCCUAAGGUAGCGAAAUUCCUUGUCGGGUAAGUUCCGACCUGCACGAAUGGCGUAAUGAUGGCCAGGCUGUCUCCACCCGAGACUCAGUGAAAUUGAACUCGCUGUGAAGAUGCAGUGUACCCGCGGCAAGACGGAAAGACCCCGUGAACCUUUACUACAGCUUGACACUGAACAUUGAGCCUUGAUGUGUAGGAUAGGUGGGAGGCUUUGAAGCGCGGACGCCAGUCUGCGUGGAGCCAACCUUGAAAUACCACCCUUUAAUGUUUGAUGUUCUAACGUAGGCCCGUAAUCCGGGCUGCGGACAGUGUCUGGUGGGUAGUUUGACUGGGGCGGUCUCCUCCUAAAGAGUAACGGAGGAGCACGAAGGUCAGCUAAUCACGGUCGGACAUCGUGAGGUUAGUGCAAUGGCAUAAGCUGGCUUGACUGCGAGAGUGACGGCUCGAGCAGGUGCGAAAGCAGGUCAUAGUGAUCCGGUGGUUCUGAAUGGAAGGGCCAUCGCUCAACGGAUAAAAGGUACUCCGGGGAUAACAGGCUGAUACCGCCCAAGAGUUCAUAUCGACGGCGGUGUUUGGCACCUCGAUGUCGGCUCAUCACAUCCUGGGGCUGAAGUAGGUCCCAAGGGUACGGCUGUUCGCCGUUUAAAGUGGUACGCGAGCUGGGUUUAGAACGUCGUGAGACAGUUCGGUCCCUAUCUGCCGUGGGCGCUGGAGAAUUGAGGGGGGUUGCUCCUAGUACGAGAGGACCGGAGUGAACGCACCACUGGUGUUCGGGUUGUCAUGCCAAUGGCAUUGCCCGGUAGCUAAGUGCGGAAAAGAUAAGUGCUGAAAGCAUCUAAGCACGAAACUUGCCCCGAGAUGAGUUCUCCCUGACUCCUUGAGAGUCCUGAAGGGACGUUGAAGACUACGACGUUGAUAGGCCGGGUGUGUAAGCGCAGCGAUGCGUUGAGCUAACCGGUACUAAUGACCCGUGAGGCUUAACCUU
Molecule: ribosomal RNA, 1401 nt
Filed under: Pantoea agglomerans
Lineage: Bacteria; Pseudomonadati; Pseudomonadota; Gammaproteobacteria; Enterobacterales; Erwiniaceae
Also listed under: 1 other name
Description: partial 23S ribosomal RNA
Rfam family: Bacterial large subunit ribosomal RNA
Source: RNAcentral